This 374-nucleotide ribosomal RNA is filed under the name uncultured prokaryote. RNAcentral describes it as "bacterial SSU rRNA". It matches the Rfam family "Bacterial small subunit ribosomal RNA", at positions 524 to 896 of the family's 1533-position model. The record is from RNAcentral.
UACGUAGGUGACGAGCGUUGUUCGGAUUUAUUGGGCGUAAAGGGUUCGUAGGAGGUUUAUUAAGAUUGGUGUGAAAUCCCAAGGCUCAACCUUGGAACUGCAUUGAUUACUGAUGAACUAGAGUAUCGUAGAGGAAAGCGGAAUUCCAGGUGUAGCGGUGGAAUGCGUAGAUAUCUGGAAGAACACCGACAGCGAAGGCAGCUUUCUGGGCGAUAACUGACUCUGAGGAACGAAAGCAUGGGGAGCAAACAGGAUUAGAUACCCUGGUAGUCCAUGCCGUAAACGUUGUGUGCUUGGUCUGAGCGGAUUCAACCCCGUUCGGAUCGGAGUUAACAUGUUAAGCACACCGCCUGGGGACUACGGUCGCAAGACUA